GACGAACGCUGGCGGCGCGCCUAACACAUGCAAGUCGAACGAGCGAGAGAGAGCUUGCUUUCUCAAGCGAGUGGCGAACGGGCGAGUAACGCGUGAGGAACCUGCCUCAAAGAGGGGGACAACAGUUGGAAACGACUGCUAAUACCGCAUAAGCCCACGACCCGGCAUCGGGUAGAGGGAAAAGGAGCAAUCCGCUUUGAGAUGGCCUCGCGUCCGAUUAGCUAGUUGGUGAGGUAACGGCCCACCAAGGCGACGAUCGGUAGCCGGACUGAGAGGUUGAACGGCCACAUUGGGACUGAGACACGGCCCAGACUCCUACGGGAGGCAGCAGUGGGGAAUAUUGCACAAUGGGGGAAACCCUGAUGCAGCGACGCCGCGUGGAGGAAGAAGGUCUUGGGAUUGUAAACUCCUGUUGUUGAGGAAGAUAAUGACGGUACUCAACAAGGAAGUGACGGCUAACUACGUG
Molecule: ribosomal RNA, 466 nt
Filed under: uncultured bacterium
Lineage: Bacteria
Description: partial 16S ribosomal RNA
Rfam family: Bacterial small subunit ribosomal RNA
Source: RNAcentral